GUAGGGAAUAUUGGACAAUGGGGGGAACCCUGAUCCAGCCAUGCCGCGUGCAGGAAGACGCAUCUAUGGUGUGUAAACUGCUUUUGUACGGGAAGAAACACUCCCUCGUGAGGGAGCUUGACGGUACCGUAAGAAUAAGGAUCGGCUAACUCCGUGCCAGCAGCCGCGGUAAUACGGAGGAUCCAAGCGUUAUCCGGAAUCAUUGGGUUUAAAGGGUCCGUAGGCGGUUUAAUAAGUCAGUGGUGAAAGCCCAUCGCUCAACGAUGGAACGGCCAUUGAUACUGUUAGACUUGAAUUACAAGGAAGUAACUAGAAUAUGUAGUGUAGCGGUGAAAUGCUUAGAUAUUACAUGGAAUACCAAUUGCGAAGGCAGGUUACUACUUGUGGAUUGACGCUGAUGGACGAAAGCGUGGGGAGCGAACAGGAUUAGAAACCCGAGUAGUCC
This 445-nucleotide ribosomal RNA is filed under the name uncultured bacterium. RNAcentral describes it as "partial 16S ribosomal RNA". It matches the Rfam family "Bacterial small subunit ribosomal RNA", at positions 354 to 796 of the family's 1533-position model. The record is from RNAcentral.